AACGAACGCUGGCGGCAUGCCUAACACAUGCAAGUCGAACGAGACCUUCGGGUCUAGUGGCGCACGGGUGCGUAACGCGUGGGAACCUGCCCUUAGGUUCGGAAUAACUCCCCGAAAGGGGUGCUAAUACCGGAUAAUGCCUUCGGACCAAAGAUUUAUCGCCUUUGGAUGGGCCCGCGUUGGAUUAGCUAGUUGGUAGGGUAAAAGCCUACCAAGGCGACGAUCCAUAGCUGGUCUGAGAGGAUGAUCAGCCACACUGGGACUGAGACACGGCCCAGACUCCUACGGGAGGCAGCAGUGGGGAAUAUUGGGCAAUGGGCGAAAGCCUGAUCCAGCAAUGCCGCGUGAGUGAUGAAGGCCUUAGGGUUGUAAAGCUCUUUUACCCGGGAUGAUAAUGACAGUACCGGGAGAAUAAGCUCCGGCUAACUCCGUG
This 433-nucleotide ribosomal RNA is filed under the name uncultured bacterium. RNAcentral's name for it is "partial 16S ribosomal RNA". It matches the Rfam family "Bacterial small subunit ribosomal RNA", at positions 29 to 507 of the family's 1533-position model. The record is from RNAcentral.